Molecule: ribosomal RNA, 476 nt
Filed under: uncultured Methanosaeta sp.
Lineage: Archaea; Methanobacteriati; Methanobacteriota; Methanomicrobia; Methanotrichales; Methanotrichaceae
Description: bacterial SSU rRNA
Rfam family: Archaeal small subunit ribosomal RNA
Source: RNAcentral
GGAAUUGACGGGGAGCACCACAACGGGUGGAGCUUGCGGUUUAAUUGGAUUCAACGCCGGAAAUCUUACCGGACCGACAGCAAUAUGAAGGCCAGGCUGAAGACUUUGCCGGAUUAGCUGAGAGGUGGUGCAUGGCCGUCGUCAGUUCGUACUGUGAAGCAUCCUGUUAAGUCAGGCAACGAGCGAGACCCACGCCCACAGUUGCCAGCGUACUCUCCGGAGUGACGGGUACACUGUGGGGACCGCCGCUGCUAAAGCGGAGGAAGGAAUGGGCAACGGUAGGUCAGUAUGCCCCGAAUAUCCCGGGCUACACGCGAGCUACAAUGGUUGGUACAAUGGGUAUCUACCCCGAAAGGGGACGGGAAUCUCCUAAAACCAAUCUUAGUUCGGAUUGAGGGCUGCAACUCGCCCUCAUGAAGCUGGAAUCCGUAGUAAUCGCGUUUCAACAGAACGCGGUGAAUACGUCCCUGCUCCUU